GUGCUAUACAUGCAGUCGAGCGAACAGACGAGGAGCUUGCUCCUCUGACGUUAGCGGCGGACGGGUGAGUAACACGUGGAUAACCUACCUAUAAGACUGGGAUAACUUCGGGAAACCGGAGCUAAUACCGGAUAAUAUAUUGAACCGCAUGGUUCAAUAGUGAAAGACGGUUUUGCUGUCACUUAUAGAUGGAUCCGCGCCGCAUUAGCUAGUUGGUAAGGUAACGGCUUACCAAGGCAACGAUGCGUAGCCGACCUGAGAGGGUGAUCGGCCACACUGGAACUGAGACACGGUCCAGACUCCUACGGGAGGCAGCAGUAGGGAAUCUUCCGCAAUGGGCGAAAGCCUGACGGAGCAACGCCGCGUGAGUGAUGAAGGUCUUCGGAUCGUAAAACUCUGUUAUUAGGGAAGAACAAAUGUGUAAGUAACUAUGCACGUCUUGACGGUACCUAAUCAGAAAGCCACGGCUAACUACGUGCCAGC
This 483-nucleotide ribosomal RNA is filed under the name Bacilli bacterium. Its description in RNAcentral is "bacterial SSU rRNA". It matches the Rfam family "Bacterial small subunit ribosomal RNA", at positions 44 to 512 of the family's 1533-position model. Lineage: Bacteria; Bacillati; Bacillota; Bacilli. The record is from RNAcentral.